GACACUCAUCUCCCUCUCUCUAUCUGGUUCUCUCUAGAACCUACUCUUCUCCCAUCCGCUCCGAUAGACCCUGUCCACCUUCUCCGGCCACCUUCCUCGAUAGAAACCAUGGUUUCUCAUCAUCUCCUGGCCUAUGCUUCAUCCCACUAUGGUUUGACAUUACCCUGAGGUCCCUAGGUGAACCUAGCGUGAUUCAACUCCUAUCCAUAGUCUUUCAUGCCAUUCUCCAGCCAUCCAUGGCUAUUUGAGUAAAAUCUAUGACUUUUCCAGCUAAAACCGGU
RNAcentral lists this long non-coding RNA (281 nucleotides) under Nicotiana benthamiana. Its description in RNAcentral is "long non-coding RNA (NBEN_LNC006572)". Lineage: Eukaryota; Viridiplantae; Streptophyta; Magnoliopsida; Solanales; Solanaceae. The record is from RNAcentral.